GGCUCCACUUGGGAGUUCUUGAAUUUCUUUGAUACAUAUGAGAGAUAUGAAUUACCAAUUAGGGAUAAGGAAGGGGUUCAUGAGCUUAAAGACGAAGUAGAAAGUAAAAUUCCUGGAGAUUCCAUAAAUUUGGCGGGAGAGGAGAAACAGAGUAAUGCCAAAUUGACAGUGGAAAAUGGUGAGGCGAAGCAGCCUGAUGUUAAUGUGGUGCAGACGAAUGUUAUUUCAGAGAAAGAGACGAAAGAUUCUGUCGAGUCUGAGAAUCGAAGUACCCCUGGGGUUAUGAGAGAACUGGAGGCUCUCUUUGAGAAAGCUGCAGAGUCAGGAAAUCAAGUGUUAAAGAUACUUGAUACAGGAAAAGUCCGCUACAAUAAUAAGAAUUCUAUCUAUCAAGGAGUUUCUUCCAAGAUGUUGCAUGUGGUAACCCCAUCUUUCUUGGCGAUACCUUCUAAAAUUACCGAGACCCCAUCUAAAGAGAAGAUUGGUUCUGUUGGUCAGGGCUUUAAUGAAGAUUUGGCAGUGAUUUCAGCGAAUUUGUCUUCCACUCUCAAGAA
This 554-nucleotide unclassified non-coding RNA is filed under the name Hevea brasiliensis (rubber tree). The record is from RNAcentral. Lineage: Eukaryota; Viridiplantae; Streptophyta; Magnoliopsida; Malpighiales; Euphorbiaceae.